UGGCCCCCCACACGGGUACUGAGACACGGACCCGACUCCUACGGGAGGCAGCAGUAAGGAAUAUUGGUCAAUGGACGGAAGUCUGAACCAGCCAUCCCGCGUGCAGGAUGACUGCCCUAUGGGUUGUGAACUGCUUUUAGCAGAGACGAAACGCCUUCAUUUAUGAGGGUCUGACGGUAUCUGCAGAAUAAGCACCGGCUAACUCCGUGCCAGCAGCCGCGGUAAUACGGAGGGUGCAAGCGUUAUCCGGAAUCACUGGGUUUAAAGGGUGCGUAGGCGGAUAUUUAAGUCAGUGGUGAAAUCUUGUCGCUUAACGAUAAAAUUGCCAUUGAUACUGAAUGUCUUGAAUUGGGUUGAGGUUAGCGGAAUGUGACAUGUAGCGGUGAAAUGCAUAGAUAUGUCAUGGAACACCAAUUGCGAAGGCAGCCCCCUGGGUCGACACUGACGCUCAUGCACGAAAGCGUGGGUAGCAAACAGGAUUAGAUACCCUGGUAGUCCACGCCCUAAACGAUGCCAACUAUGUGUUGGGGAAAGGAGACUUCCUUAGUACCGUAGCUAACGCGUGAAGUUGGCCGCCUGGGGAGUACGGUCGCAAGAUUAAAACUCAAAGGGAUUGACGGGGACCCGCACAAGCGGUGGAUGAUGUGGAUUAAUUCGAUGCACGCGAAAACCUUACCUACCC
Molecule: ribosomal RNA, 682 nt
Filed under: uncultured bacterium
Lineage: Bacteria
Description: bacterial SSU rRNA
Rfam family: Bacterial small subunit ribosomal RNA
Source: RNAcentral